RNAcentral lists this long non-coding RNA (257 nucleotides) under Rattus norvegicus (Norway rat). RNAcentral's name for it is "long non-coding RNA NONRATT008265". The record is from RNAcentral. Lineage: Eukaryota; Metazoa; Chordata; Mammalia; Rodentia; Muridae.
GGGGACUCCAGAUGUGCGCACAGACACCAGGCUCAAUAAAGCCAUCUGGGCCAAAGGAAUAAGGAAUGUUCCGUACCGCAUCCGAGUAUGUUUGUCUAGAAAGCAUAAUGAGGAUGAGGAUUCACCAAACAAACUCUACACACUGGUAACUUACGUGCCUGUUACCACAUUCAAAAAUCUACAGACGGUCAAUGUGGAUGAGAACUAACUGCUGAAUGUCAAAUAAAGUUACAGAACUGCCAAAAAAAAAAAAAAAA